AGGGCACUCAAGGAAGGCAUGUUCAGACCCUGUUCUCCGAUAGUAGACUGAGAGGAUAGAAAGAGAGAGGGGGGGAGUUGUUCCCUUUUGUGCAGAGGACUAGUGAUGGAUUGACUUUUCCAAUAUUUACUGUGCUCAGCAGCUCUUAAUCCAGCCCAGGUGAACCAUGGGCCUUCCCCUCACCACAGCCCAGCAAGCCAUGAGUGUCCAUUUAAUCACCAGCACAGAAAUUAGAUCCAACAGCCACUGCUCUAAAGACCUUUAAAUAUGCAGUGUACUGUAGAAGAGAAGAACCAGGGAGAUACAACAAUGCAAAACAUCAACAAACAACAGCAACAAGGACAACAACAACAUAUAAUAGCAUAAAAAAACAGGUACUUUUCCCUCUGCAUACCAUAGCUGCUUUAUACUGUAAGCUCAGGGAGAAAGGUUAGGAACCAAAGUUUUUAAAGAGAGUAUACCACUAAAUGUUUAAUUUGGGUCAAACUCAGUAAGAACAGACACUAUCCAUGUGGCCUAUUUAACCCUUUUAGUAGCCGCAGCAAAUACUUACGGCUGAGCAUAAAAUACUCUUCUGAUGAGACAGCGUUUGGGAGUGUUACUAAUCCACACGUGGUUGAAAUUAGGUUGCAGGGCUACGUCAGCAAAGCCUAUUGCAUAUUUCAAUUCUUAAAGCGGGUGUGAAGGUGAAGCGCUGUCAGACGUACUUUUGCAAAUAGCGUGCAAGUGAAACUAAUCUUGCCAAAAUAGAUUAGGCACUGUGAGUGAACAUGGCCCAAUUUACCAUCUGCUUGCCCGCAAGUGUAGAGAUGUUGGUGGACCAGAGAAACAAAAAUGACAAUAAAGCAGACAUACUUCGGGAAUCCAAAUUGCCCUUAAACUGGGAACACAGUGGGAACACAGAUUGGGAUCUGGACCAGUGACUGUUGUGACUCCAAUUAUAUAUAAUGCUUCUUCUAAUGAACUCAUUACCACCAUAGUGACAGCUAGGACUGCUCUGUUUAUGUUAUGACAUAAUGUGUAAUAAUAACUAAAUGCUUUUGGCCACUGUCACAAUUAUGCAUUUUAAAUACUAAGAUGACAUAACAGUGUCAUAACAACUUUGUGUCAAUAGCAGAGCUGGUCCUAGAUGGCCCUAUACAGGCCCUCUGGGAUCUAGUUGCACAACGCUUCCUGGUUCACUCUCAUUUACGUUGGACAAUGAGAAGGUUGUCCUUGCAGACAGGGUUAGGGUCGUGGUCGAGGCUAGGGUUAAGCUUGAACCAGGAUGUGGACAUGAAGCUAGGGUUAGGGUUGUGGUUGAGGCUAAGUUUAGGCUUGAACCAGGAUGGGGACAUUAAGCUAAGGUUAGGGUUUAGUGUUAGAGUUGAAUCAGGAAGUGGACAUGAAGCUAAGAUUGUGGUUGAGACUAGGUGUAACAUGCUGGAUAUGAACCCAGGUGUCUCACAGGUGCGACCAACGUUUUAGACCAUUAGACCAAUAGAAAAUUCCCUCUUGGGCUUAGGGCUGACACUGGUUUUGAAGUUUGCAUGCGGGGCUACCUCAUCAUGUGACCAUGACCUCUACAUAAGGUUAAGCUUGAACUGGGAUGUGGACAUGAGGCUCGGGUUAGGGUUGUGGUUGUGGUUGAGGGUUAGGGUUGCACCGGGAUGUGGACAUGAGGCUAGGGUUAGGGUUAGGGUUGUGGUUGCACCGGGAUGUGGACAUGAGGCUAGGGUUAGGGUUAGGGUUGCACCGGGAUGUGGACAUGAGGCUAGGGUUAGGGUUGUGGUUGAGGGUUAGGGUUGAACCGGGAUGUGGACAUGAGGCUAGGGUUAGGGUUGGUAGGAAUAUGAGCAUAGAGAAGGCGACAGUCAAAAUACCUCCAAUGUGCCUGUUAAUUUGACCCUUUAUUACAGCUAAGAGAGAGGGCUUACUUCACAUCAGGCAUGUAGGCUUUCCAUUUUUCAUUUCCCUGUCUCUUCCAUUCGAUGACACAGACUUUGUUUGGGUAAGGCCAACCUGGUAGUUGAUUUAAUAAAACCUGCAAGCCCUACUGGACUGGAUUGUGGUGUGUUCUGGAAGCGAUGGGCUCUGAGCUUCAAUCGCUCCGAGCUUCAAAUCAGCAGGAGGGUGACUAACACAUUACACCACUACGUUCCAAUGAAUACACUAGAAAAGGAAAUUUCCUGAAGAAAAUGUGGUGCUCGUUCCUUUUUAAGUGUAUUCAUGUGGAUAAGUGGUAGAGAUAAGUGGUAGAGGUAGUGGCAGUGAAGGAAAUAGUAUAAGUAGUAAUGGUAGUUAUAUGGUUUUUAUGGUCUACAGUUAUAGUAACCUACUUGGGGGUGGUUUGUAGGUGUAGAGUUAUUAUAGUGGGUUAUAGCUUGUAGUAAUGGUAGUGGUAGUAGUGGGGACUGUGGCAGUAGUGGUGGUGGCGGUAGUAGUAGUAGUAGUAGUAGUAGUAGUAGUGGUAGUUACUGCAAUAGUAGUGGUAUUAGUAGUGACUGUGGUAAAUUAUAGCAAGAAGCUUUAUUGAAACAAUCAACAACAACAACAAAAAUAACUCUGUACUCCCUGGACCAGAGCUCGUUAAUACGUACCAAAACUAGACCAAAUGCUAGCUACACCUUGGACCAGAACUGGACCAGAGCUAGAGCGGACCAAAGCUAGAGCAGACCAGAGCUAGCUAUCUAGCUACUAGCUACACCCUGGACCAGAGCUAGUUAGUGCGGACCAGAGCUAGACCACAGCUUUUGCAGAACAAAGCUAGCUAGCUACUCUCUACACCUUGGACCAGAGCUAGUUAGUACAGACCAGAGCUAGACCAGAGCUAGUGUGAACCAUAACUAGCUAGCUACUAGCUAUGCCCAGGACAAGAGCUAGUGCAGACCAGAGCAUUAGUUGUGGUUAGUAGUUGUGGUCAAUAGUUGUGGUUAGUAGUUGUGUGGUCAGUAGUUGUGGCUAGUAGUUGUGGUCAGUACUUGUGUGGUUGUGGUCAGUAGUUGUGUUGUUCAGUAGUUAUGUGGUUGUGGUCAAUAGUUGUGUGGUCAGUAGUUGUGGUCAGCAGAUGUGUGGUUGUGGUCUUUAGAUGUGGUCAGUAGUUAUGGUCAGUAAUUGUUUUAUUGUGGUCAGUAGUUGUGUGGUCAGUAGUUGUGUAGUUAUGGUCAGUAGUUGUGUGGUUGUGGUCAGUAGUUGUGUGGUUCAGUGGUUAUGUGGUCAGUAGUUGUGGUCAGUACUUGUGUGGUUGUGGUCAGUAGUUGUGUUGUUCAGUAGUUAUGUGGUUGUGGUCAGUAGUUGUGUGGUUGUGGUCAGUAGUUGUGUGGUCAGUAGUUGUGUGGUUGUGGUCAGUAGUUGUGUGGUUGUGGUCAGUAGUUGUGUGGUCAGUAGUUGUGUGGUUGUGGUCAGUAGAUGCGUGGUUGUGGUCAGUAGUUGUGUGGUCAGUAGUUGUGUUGUUCAGUAGUUAAGUGGUUGUGGUCAGUAGUUGUGUGGUUGUGGUCAGUAGUUGUGUGGUCAGUAGUUGUGUGGUUGUGGUCAGUAGUUGUGUGGUCAGUAGUUGUGUGGUUGUGGUCAGUAGUUGUAUGGUCAGUAGUUGUGGUCAGUCGUUGUGUGGUUGUGGUCAGUAGUUGUGUGGUCAGUAGUUGUGUGGUUGUGGUCAGUAGUUGUGUGGUCAGUAGCUGUGGUCAGUAGUUGUGUGGUUGUGGUCAGUAGUUGUGUGGUCAGUAGUUGUGUGGUUGUGGUCUUUAGAUGUGGUCAGUAGUUAUAGUCAGUAAUUGUUUUAUUGUGGUCAGUAGUUGUGUGGUCAGCAGUUGUGUGGUAGUGGUCAGUAGUUGUGGUCAGUAGUUGGGUGGUUGUGGUCAGUAGUUGUAUGGUCAGUAGUUGUGUGGUUGUGGUCAGAAGUUCUGUGGUCAGUAGUUGUGUGGUUGUGGUCUUUAGAUGUGGUCAGUAGUUAUAGUCAGUAAUUGUUUUAUUGUGGUCAGUAGUUGUGUGGUCAGCAGUUCUGUGGUAGUGGUCAGUAGUUGUGGUCAGUAGUUGGGUGGUUGUGGUCAGUAGUUGUAUGGUCAGUAGUUGUGUGGUUGUGGUCAGUAGUUGUGGUCAGAAGUUGUUUGGUCUGUAGUUGUAGUUGUGGUCAAUAUUUGUGUGGUUGUAGUCAGUAUUGGCGUGGUCAGUAAGAGACCUUUCUUUUUUUGCUGAGUUUAGUAUGAAAAGUAUGCAUAGUAUUUUCGAGCAACACUACCAGUGCCAGUCUGCAUGUUUUAAAGUUGAAAGUUUAUUUAUUGUAUGAUUGAUAGGAUAGCCUGAACAUGUGUAAGUGUCACGGUUUUUGUCGGUAAUGGAGGACCAAAACGCAGCAGGUAUGUGUAAGCUCAUCUUGACGUUUAUUAACUUCCCAAAAUAACAAAACAAGUGAACGAACGAUAUACAGACAGUCUUGCAAGGCGCAAGGCACAAGGCUAAACACAGAACAAUCUCCCACAAACACACAGACAAACACACCCAACUAAUAUAGGACUUCCAAUCAAAGGCAACACCACACAGCUGCCUUCAAUUGGAAGUCCACCCCAAUUAACUCUACAUAGAAACACACUUACUAGACUACACAUAGAAAUACAUAAACAUAGACCAUAAACCAAAAACCCGGAAAUACUAAAUCAAACACCCUUUUACCAAAACACCACCCCGGACCACAUAAAACAAAUACCCUCUGCCACAUCCUGACCAAACUACAAUAACAAUUAACCCUUAUACCGGCCAGGACGUGACAGUAAGUUGGUUUGGUGUCUCUAGUUUGAACAGUUCAAGAGUUACCGUUGUGGGUAUUCAUGCAAAUGUGUAUAAUUCUAAAAAAUGUGAAGUUAUCAUAGCCUGAACAUUUGAAAGUCGUUUUUUUAUAGCUUAAAUUGGCCAUUUUGAAAAGCGA
RNAcentral lists this long non-coding RNA (4897 nucleotides) under Salmo salar (Atlantic salmon). Its description in RNAcentral is "lncRNA (ENSSSAG00000108053.1)". Lineage: Eukaryota; Metazoa; Chordata; Actinopteri; Salmoniformes; Salmonidae. The record is from RNAcentral.